GGAUUGUGGCUCAGAGGUAGAGUGCGUGCCUAACAUGCGUGAGGCAUUGGGUUCCAUCCCCAGCACCA
This 68-nucleotide transfer RNA is filed under the name Marmota monax (woodchuck). RNAcentral's name for it is "tRNA.Val". The stretch from base 5 to 65 matches the Rfam family "tRNA", at positions 6 to 65 of the family's 71-position model. From Rfam's summary of the family: Transfer RNA (tRNA) molecules are approximately 80 nucleotides in length. Their secondary structure includes four short double-helical elements and three loops (D, anti-codon, and T loops). Lineage: Eukaryota; Metazoa; Chordata; Mammalia; Rodentia; Sciuridae. The record is from RNAcentral.